GGCUAGAGUGUCAGGAGAAGGGAGGAAGGAGGAAAGGAAAGGUUCUAGUCGUGUUUGUGCGCUUGCGUGGGUCGGACGUGGUUCUGUGAAGAGUGUAAAGAUUAGAGUAAGAAAAGAGAAGCCAUGUUUCGAAGACCUUUAUUGCAGGUACUUCAUCAGUUUGUAAGACAUGAGUCUGAAAUAGCUAGCAGUUUGGUUCUUGAAAGAUCCCUGAAUCGUGUUCAGUUACUUGGGCGAGUGGGUCAGGAUCCUGUCAUGAGACAGGUGGAAGGAAAAAAUCCAGUCACGAUAUUUUCUCUAGCAACAAAUGAACUGUGGCGAUCAGGGGACAGUGAAGAAUACCAAAUGGGUGAUGUCAGUCAAAAGACAACAUGGCACAGGAUAUCAGUAUUCCGGCCAGGCCUCAGAGAUGUGGCAUAUCAGUAUGUUAAAAAGGGGGCUCGAAUUUAUGUGGAAGGGAAAGUAGACUAUGGUGAAUACAUGGAUAAAAAUAAUGUGAGGCAACAAGCAACAACGAUCAUAGCUGAUAACAUUAUAUUUCUGAGUGACCAGAUCAAAGAGAAGGCGUAGAAUGGACGAUUCUUCUUUGGCCAUUGUUUGGUACAGUCUCAAUUCCAAUCAUGUAUAGUCUUUGUAGUUUCUAAAGAUAAGAAUUAAAAUACUCCUUUAUAUAAAA
RNA transcript from Microcebus murinus (gray mouse lemur), 676 nucleotides. It is a transcript of the gene named single-stranded DNA-binding protein, mitochondrial pseudogene, with no coding region annotated. Lineage: Eukaryota; Metazoa; Chordata; Mammalia; Primates; Cheirogaleidae. The record is from RefSeq and is a predicted model, not a curated record.